GACGAACGCUGGCGGCGUGCUUAACACAUGCAAGUCGAACGGAAAGGCCCUGCUUUUGUGGGGUGCUCGAGUGGCGAACGGGUGAGUAACACGUGAGUAACCUGCCCUUGACUUUGGGAUAACUUCAGGAAACUGGGGCUAAUACCGGAUAGGAUCUCCUGCUGCGUGGUGGGGGUUGAAGAUUCGGCGGUUGGGGAUGGAUUCGCGGCUUAUCAGCGUUUUGGUGGGGUAGUGGCUUACGAAGGCAUUGACGGGUAGCCGGCCUGAGAGGGUGACCGGCCACAUUGGGACUGAGAUACGGCGCAGACUCCUACGGGAGGCAGCAGUGGGGAAUAUUGCACAAUGGGCGGAAGCCUGAUGCAGCAACGCCGCGUGCGGGAUGACGGCCUUCGGGUUGUAAACCGCUUUCGCCUGUGACGAAGCGUGAGUGACGGUAAUGGGUAAAGAAGCACCGGCUAACUACGUG
Molecule: ribosomal RNA, 466 nt
Filed under: uncultured bacterium
Lineage: Bacteria
Description: partial 16S ribosomal RNA
Rfam family: Bacterial small subunit ribosomal RNA
Source: RNAcentral